Molecule: ribosomal RNA, 451 nt
Filed under: uncultured bacterium
Lineage: Bacteria
Description: partial 16S ribosomal RNA
Rfam family: Bacterial small subunit ribosomal RNA
Source: RNAcentral
AACGAACGCUGGCGGCAGGCUUAACACAUGCAAGUCGAACGGGUGUAGCAAUACAUCAGUGGCAGACGGGUGAGUAACACGUGGGAACCUUCCUCGUUGUACGGGACAACUCAGGGAAACUUGAGCUAAUACCGUAUACGUCCGAGAGGAGAAAGAUUUAUCGCAAUGAGACGGGCCCGCGUCGGAUUAGCUAGUUGGUGGGGUAACGGCCUACCAAGGCGACGAUCUGUAGCUGAUCUGAGAGGAUGAUCAGCCACACUGGGACUGAGACACGGCCCAGACUCCUACGGGAGGCAGCAGUGGGGAAUCUUGGACAAUGGGCGCAAGCCUGAUCCAGCCAUGCCGCGUGAGUGAAGAAGGCCUUAGGGUUGUAAAGUUCUUUUGCCAGGGACGAUAAUGACGGUACCUGGAGAAUAAGCCCCGGCAAACUUCGUGCCAGCCGCCGCCGCCG